CUUCGAAUCAGAAGGACUCGUUACCUGCUGACUCGGAGCGGUGGACUGACUGAAUGCGGUAUCUGCGCUAUAAUUUGUACCUACAUUAUAAGACACUAUAGCACAUAGAAAUAUAUGGGGGUCAACACUUUAAGUAAUGUACAGAGUAUGUGGGGGUGCAACGCAACAUUAUAAAUAAUAUCAAAGAUGAUUAUGAAAAUCAUGCAUGCUGACGAUAACGACUUUCUUUGCUUGAAUUUCUUGAAACAUAAUUUCCAUAAAUCAUCAAUAAUAACACAUGCUUCAUAAAUCUCAUAAAUCAUUGGACUCAACUCAAACUCUUUAAAUCAUGACUUAGAGUGACUCGGUAACUCAUGAAACUUGAACUCUUAUAAACUUGGGAGGUUCUUAUAACCGAUAUUAACCAUGUGAGCUACAUGGAGUCCAAUGUUUUGCCCUCCUAAGGAGAGAACCCCACAUUGGCAGAAGUUUCGUACUCUUGCCAAAGAGUACAACCUAAAUUUAGUGAUCAUAAUCUCAUACUCAGCCUCCAUCCUACAAUUAUGAAUAUCAAUCCUAUGGUGGCACAUAGUUUUGGGAGAAAUACCAUAUUUCCCGCUUGGUGCAAAAUACUACUCCCAGACACAAGCUCAGAAUGCGUUAGGAAAUCCACCUCAAAGAUCACAAGGUUCUAUCAUAAAGACCAAAUCAAAUCUCUUUCUCAUUUAUCAAAUCAUAAUCAAUUUGUGGAUUCCAAACUUGACUCAAAUCAAAUCAAUCUUUCUCAAUAUCAAAAUGUAUCAAAAACUUCAAGAAAAUAUCAUAGAACUCAUUCUUGACUUUCAAGCUCAAAUAUCAAUAUAUAUAUUCAAUAAUCAAACUUUUCAUAGAAAAGCUUAAAUCAUGACUCUUAUCUCAAAUCAUUCGGAAAUCAUCAACUCAUAGUAACAAUAUUCAACUCAUGGCAUAAGUUCUCAAUUUAAGAAAUAAAAUAGUUAUGUGUAUCAAUUUUGAAUAGCUCAAAUAUCAUAAAUCAUUAAUAAAGUAAUUUGGGUGUAAACCCACUUUGCAAAAUAAUAAAUUUCAAUAGUAGAAAUUAAAUCUUUGGGCACAAGAAUGAAAGAAGUGUUCUUGUUCAAAUCCCACAUGCCUUAGAUUAUGAUUUUAAGAUGAGCAAGCUUGAUUGGAAAAUCUUUUUCACACUUUUGAGCUACGUUCUUGAUGCCUUUGACUUGGAGAACUUAAUUCUUGAACAACUUGGUGAAAUCUUUGGAAAAUUCUUGAAUUUCUUGGAGAUAAUUUGAUUUGGAUUUGGAAGAGAGAAACCCUAGUUUCUAGAGAGUUAUGGAAGAGAAAGGAGAAAAAUAAACUUCUCUUCUCUACUUGGAUAUAUAUAUAUACAAGACCAAAAUGGGCGGAAAUGAUCAAAAUGCCCCUAAAAAAUUGAGAUAAAAAAUUAUCGAUCGGGUUUGUGACGGUUGAACUAACAGUCCUCAGAGGAACAGACGGUCCACUAUAUCGUCCAUCACUCGAGUGUCAAAACUAGGACAUUCUGCCUAGACAUGACGGUCCCCUUGACGGUCUGUCAAAUUUUUGGUGGCCUACUAUUUUGGCCAUCGCACGAUGGCCAGAAAAAGGGGUUACUUCCUUGGCUUGAUGGGACAAUUGAUGGUCCACCAAGGACUUGGCGGUCCUUCAAGGCUACCGUCAGGCCUGAGCAAUUCUGACAUCGCUUAGUAAAACGGCCAUAACUUCCUCGUCCGAUGUCAGAUUUCGAUGAAAUUGGUAUCGAUGGAAAGCUUAUUCAAUGCUCUAUAUAACAGAAAUAAUAAAUUAGAGAAAUAAAAAACAAUAUAAAUAUCAAUCACUUUGGAAGUCACCCCUAUUCACUUAAAAGACAAAUUUAGGCUUUAAAAAUGAUUGGGGUAUUAUAGUUAUCAAUUCCGUAAACCCAUUCAGUUUUAUGCAUAGAUUCCUAUUACUAGUUAACAUCAGUUAACAUUGCACAGUCUGUCAUGCUUUCAAGAGUAAGUUCAGUCAGACCUCCAUGCAUUAGAUAUGCAUAUUUAGUAGAGAAAUUUCAGCUUAUCAGUAUAUUCAGUCUUACGUUCAUGAGAACAACUUAAUCAAGUAUCUAUGCAUCAGAUAUGCAUGUCCAUCAUGAGGAUUCAGCUUAUCAAUAGUCUCAUCCGGGUAUUCUAUGCAUCAGUUAUGCAUGCAUACUCUAGUGGAAAAUUCAGUGUGUCAGUAAUUUCUGUCAUUUAGUUAUGUUUUUGAUAUUCAUGUCCCUUAAGUAAGUUUAAUUAAUCAGUCAUCGUAAGUUAUCAAUCGACAUUCGAGGAUAAAUGAUUCCAAAGGGAAGAUAAUGUAACACUUCACAUUUUGGACUAGAAUGAAAAUCCGUCAUUCAUAUGCGUAGACAUUCCAAAAACCUGAAAUCCUAUGUAAAUUUAGUGUGUUAAUCAAUUAUGUAGUGUGGGAAUAUAUUUGAGAAAGAAUUAAGAUAAUAGAUAUCCCUAACUCAAGGACAAGUUGAAACAUUUUCUAUCGUUCAAGUUUUAGUGAGCGUCAAAACUUGGGUCAACUUUAAUCAACCAUAAAUACUUGUGUAUAUAAAAUUAGAAAACCUACUAUAUGUCAAAUAAAAGCUCUUUGAAUUAUAUUUCCAACAAUACCAAUUUUGUCCAAAUCCAAUAUCGGAGAAAAGAGUUUGCCUAUUUUACUCCAGCAUGUCAGCCUGGAAAACUAACUGACAAUAUUUUGUGAUAAGUUAUCGCAAGUAUGACGAUUUAUUACAAAUGUCGUCAGCCUUAGGAAGAAAUCCACCCCAAUGACGAUAUUUUGUGAUAAGUUAUCACAAGUGUGACGACUUAUCACAAGAUCGUCAGCCUUAGUUAGAAAUCCAUCAAUUCCAGCCCCUCAGUGACGACAUUUUUGAUGACUUAUCACAAGUCUGAUGGUUUAUCACAAAUGUCGCCAGCCUUUGAUUUUCAGCAAUUGGGAAGUGGUUUAAUAAGGGUAUUUUGGUAUUUUUCUCCACUUCCCAUGACUUAAAACCCUCAAGGGAUGUAACUUUCUCCUAUUUUUCUUCAGUUAAACAUCUUAAAAAUUAUCUCAUACACUCUAAACCACAAGAUUAGGGUUUCCUCUCAAGAUCAUCUCUUCAAGAAUAAGAACAUUCUCUCCCAAAGGGGUUAAACCCUAGUCAAGAAAAAAAAUCAAGAGCAAGCCUAAGGAUUUCUUCAAGAAACUUCAAGAAACAUUAGAUCUCUUUCAAGAUUCAAUCACUAAGGUAUGCGUAGUGUUCAUCCAUGGAUCCCUUUCAUCCAUGGAGCUCAAGAAUCAUGUUUUAAAUUAUAAAUUAUGAUUUCCUUAUUGUGUUAUGACUAUAUUCAUGUUGAUGAUUGUUCUUUGGAUUCAAGGUUGUAUCUUGAUGUGUUUUUAAUGAAGUAUGUGAGUAGGUUAGUUGAAACCCAUGAAUUUUGGAUGGAUUAAGAUUGUCAAAUUGAUAAGUACACCUAUGCCCAAAGUUGUGCAUGUAAGGUGUUUGAUAAAAUUCCAAGAAUGAUACAAUCUAUGUUUUUAUGACUUAAUAGUGUUAAAAUGACAAGUCCAUGUUCUAUUCCUUAUGUUUCCACAUGAAUUCCAUGUUAUUGAUAUGUGAUUUUGUUAUGAGUUGUUGUUGUGAUAUGGAAUGUCCAUGAUAUUGAGGUAUGCAAGUAUACCCAUGUUUUAUGUAUUCCCUUGCAUGUAUAAGGUGUUGAGAAACAUGUGUAGUAUGAAAUCCCCUACUUAUGGUUUUAAGAAUUGUGGAUGUUAUUCCUAUAAUCAAGAAGUAUCAUGUGUGUUAGGUUUCUUCCAUCGAGUCCUGGGGGUACUUGUACCCAAAAAAUAUAACUGUGUGCCUAGAGCCGAGUCAGUCUCAAGAUAAUCUCAGUCGUGCUAUGAUCAGUAGAACUUAGUCAGUUAUAAAAUCCAGAACUCUCGAACAGUUAUAGAAUUUAAGAAAUCUUAGUAAUCUAAGUAUCAUUAUCAUUCCACUUUCAGUUCAGUACUUAGCUCAGAUCUCAGUAGCAUUCAAGAAAUCAAUUUAAAACUUAGUAUUAUUCAGUCAGAUAAUAGAUUUUGUAGUAUUUUGUCAGAUAACGGAACCAAGUGAACUCAAUCAGCUCAGUCAAGUAAGAAACUCAGUAACAGCUUGAGUUCAGUUCAAGUACAAGUUCUAAGAAUCAGUUCAGAGUUUUUCAGUUGGGAGUAAGAGCUAGCACUGAGUGAGUACAGGGAUGACAGCUCCCCGUCAGAGAGGCAGAGUCGUUAGGAGCAAUCCCUGAACUCCAGAACUGUCAGAGAGGCUUAACUAUUAUAACGCCUUAGGCUUGACUUCCUAUGAGGGUCACCCAUUAGGUAGCCUUAACCAGAGAGGUCUUUACCCAUGGCAUGGUAUUGAAACCCUUCUAUGUGGGGUUACAGGUGGGACCCCAUUAGUUCACACUCGAGGCAUGUUGGUUAAGUGAGAAUUUCCACAUUUACAAUUUUAGUAUCAGUUUUUAGAGUAGAACUCAGAAAUCAGGACUGUCAGAUACAAUCAUUAAUCUCAGUAAGAAACUCAGAUAGUUCUAAAGAUUUAUAGACCACCCGCUAGAUGGGCUUGGUCUAACAUAAAGUUAUUCAGUAUUAGUACUUGUAUAGGUCACCCAUCAAAUAGGCUUGAUCUCAGUCUUAAAUUCAGUUGAGUAUUCUCAAUACCAGUUCCAGAGAUUACCCAUUAGUUAGGCCUGAUCUCAAGCUUAGUCACUCUUAUUCAUUAUUAAGAGAUUUAGACUGUUAGAUACAGUCGCUCAGUAUCAAUUACAUCGGUUAGGCCGAUCAUCAUAGUUAUAUCAGUUAGGUCAGUCAUCAUAGCUUACGUUAUCAGUAUUUGGUUUCAGGGCUGUUAGACACAGUCAAUCAGACCAGUUUUUCAUAAUUCAAACUGUUAGAAAUAGUCGUUCAUCUAUUCAGUAUCUCAGAAUUAGUAAACUCAUGUUGUCAGCAUGCUGACUUAGUAGUUAGUAUCACCAUGAGUUCAAUUAUAGUUACUUAUACAUGUAUGUAUUCUUAUGUUCAUACCAGCCAGCAUUUUUUAUGCAUAUAAAUCCUUUGCAUUUAGCCUACCUCACUCGUAUACUCAGUACAAUCAGAUGAACUGAUGCAUUUGCGCUAUGGCAUUUUAUUUUAUACCAUAGGUUCAGAGGCACGAGUUCCAGAGCAGUAGAAACAUUGCAAAUUUCAGAAGUCAAAGUUAAAAGUAAGUCCUCAUCCUUCGAGGACAUGAUUAUUUCUCUAUCAUCUGAUUAAUUAGUUCAUUAAAUGGAGUUAGUUGGGGACAUAUCCCAUCAGCGCCUUAUUCAGAUUAUUCAAAUAGUAGAGGCUUUCAGACUAGAUGCAGACUAGAUUAUAGACUAGAUUCAAACUUUAGUAUUUCAGUUCUAUUUUGGUAUUGUGAUACCUCUUUAUUCAGACAUUUUUAUUACUCAGAUUAUGUUCAGUAUUGAACCUUAUGACCUUCAGUUUAUGUUUUCGUAUUUAUAUUUAUAUAUUAUGCAGUGUACAGAUACAGAUAUUAGUUAGCUUGCAGUUCUUCGGGGUUAUGAGCACCUUGUAGUAUUCUGGUUUAGAUAAUUGGGGUGUUAUAAGGACCCUCAGGAAUUCCUAGAUCAGGUGCAGAAGGUUACAAACAUAAUGGGGGUUACUUCUAUUGAGAGUGCUGAGCUAGCUGUAUAUCUGUUGGAUGAUAUUGUUCAUACUUGGUUUAAACAGUGGAAGUCAGAAAGGCCAGAUAAUGCAGGGCCUGUUAAGUGGAGGAGUUUACUUCUACUUUCCUUGAUAGAUUCUUUCCCCUAGAGCUUAGAGAAGCUAAGGUGUUAGAAUUCAUCAACUUCAGGUAGGGAACUAUGAUGGUGAAAGAGUAUUCUCUUAAGUUUACUCGAUUAGCCUGAUAUGCCCCUCAUGUGGUUGCAGAUAGUAGGGCCAAGAUGAGUAAGUUCAUUUUAUGGGUAAAUGAUAGUGUGGUUAACGAGUAUAGAUCCGCCAUGUUAAAUAGUGACAUGACUUUAUCCAAGCCUAUGACUCAUGCUCAGUAGAUAGAGGAGCAGAAUAUUAAGCAGAGGGAGAAGCAGAAUAAGAGAGCUAGGACAAGUAGCUUUAAUUUUAGUCAUCUUAAGUCAGAGGGUGGUAAUUGCUCCCAGAUUCAUCCUAAGUCACUAGUUCCAGCUCCUUCAUUAGCCAGUGCUCCAGUUCCUAAGUUUAGAGAGGGUAACAAAGACAGAGCGCCAGGCUCUAAGUCUCAGGGCAAUGUUAGCAGUGCCCAAACAAAUUCCCUUUGUCAGACUUAUGGUAAAAACCACAAGGGUGCUUGCAGAGCUGGUAUCGAUUUCUAUUUCAGAUGUGGAAAGCCAAGCCACAGAGUUAAAGACUUCCCCCAGUUAGGUUAUCAGAGUCAUCUCCGCUCCUCAGCUCAGUUCAGUCGCCCAAAUCAGCAGGGUGCCACCUCCAGUGCUAUAAGUGGGCAAUGUCCAAACAGACUCUAUGCUCUCCAGUACCGGCAAGAUUAAGAAAAUUCUCCUGAUGUGGUUACUGGUAUGUUACAGAUAUAUUAUGUGCAUGUUUAUGCUUUGCUAGAUCCAGGUGCUUUCUUAUCUUUUGUUACUCCCUAUAUCGUAGUUGAUUUUAGAGCCAAUCCCAAAAUUUUAGCAGAGCCCUUUUUAGUCUUUACCCCAAUGGGUAAAACCAUCAUAGCCCAAUGGGUAUACAGAAACUGCUCGGUUAUGAUAUUUCAGAAAGUCACUUCAGCAGAUCUAGUCGAAUUAGAGAUAACUGAUUUUGAUAUCAUUCUCAGUAUGGAUUGCCUUCAUUCUUGCUAUGCCACCGUCGACUGCAGAAAUAGGAUAGUCCAGUUUUAGUUCCCAAAUAAACCCAUCCUUGAGUGGAAGGGUAGUGUAUCCACUUUCAGGGGUCAGCAUAUUUCCUACCUUCGGGCAAGAAAAAUGAUAUCUAAGGGAUGUGUCUAUCAUCUUGUUCAUGUUAAGGAUUCCAAUUCCAAAACUUCCAGUCUUAAAUCUAUUCUAGUUAUGAAUAAAUAUUCAGAUGUCUUUCCCGAAGAUCUUCCAGGAUUUCUCCCAGAAGGGAAAUAGACUUCGGUAUUGAUCUUCUUCCAAAUACUCAGCCUAUCUUUAUUCCGCCAUACAGAAUGGAACUAGCAGAAAUUAGAGAAUUGAAAGAAUAGUUGAAGGAUCUCCUAGAUAAAGGAUUCAUCAGGCUCAACAUUUCCCCAUGGGGUGAACCAGUAUUAUUCAUACGCAAGAAAGAUAGUUCUCUUAGAAUAUGCAUAGACUACCGUUAACUUAAUAAGGUCACGGUCAAGAAUAAGUAUCGUCUUCCCAGAAUCGAUGACUUAUUUGACCAACUUUAGGUGCUAGUUAUUUCUCUAAGAUAGACCUUAGAUCCGGCUAUCAUUAGCUCAGAGUCAGAGAAUAUGGCAUUCAAAAAAUAGCUUUCUGUACUCGGUAUGGUCACUUUGAAUUCCUAGACAUGUCAUUUGUUCUUACAAGUGCCCUAGCAGCUUUUAUGGACUUGAUGAACCGCGUGUUCAGAUAGUACUUGGACAUGUUCGUCAUAGUCUUCAUAGAUGAUAUUCUGGUCUAUUCCUGUAGUGCGCGAGAUCAUGUAGACCAUCUCAGAAUAGUACUUUAGACUCUCAGAGAUCAUCUGCUAUUUGCCAAAUUCAGUAAGUACAAAUUUUGGAUAAGGUCAAUAGCAUUCCUUGGUCAUAUUAUUUUGGGUGAUGGCAUUAGAGUAGAUCCUCAAAAGACCAAAAUGGUAAAAAACUGGCCCAGACCUAUCUCUCCAUUAGAUAUCAGGAGUAUCUUGGGUUUGGCUGGCUAUUAUAGAUGGUUUGUUGAGGGAUUUUCUUCUAUUGCAUCCCCUAUGUCUAGAUUGACUCAGAAGAAAAUCAAGUUUCAGUGGUCAGAUCCUUGUGAGAAGAGUUUUCAGGAGUUGAAGACUCGACUUACCUCAGCUCCAGUUUUAGCUCUUCCAGAUAGUCCAGAUGGGUUUAUAAUGUAUUGUGAUACAUCCAGAGUGGGUUUAGGUUUCCUUAUGCAACAUAGUAAGGUCAUGGCCUAUGCCUACAGACAGCUUAAACACCAUGAGAAGAAUUAUCCUACUCAUGAUCUUGAGUUAGUAGCCAUAGUCUUUGCCUUGAAGAUUUUGAGGCAUUAUCUCUACGAAGUUCAUGUAGAUAUAUUCACAGAUCAUAAGAGUCUUCAGUAUUUCUUUUCUUAGAAAGAUCUCAAUCUUUAUUAGAAAAGGUGGUUAGAGCUCUUGAAAGAUUAUGACAUAAGUAUCCGCUAUCAGCCGGGAAAGGCCAAUAUAGUGGUCGAUGCUCUCAGUAGACUGUCUAUAGGUAGUGUUGCUCAUGUGGAUGACAGUAAGAAAAAGUUAGCUUAGGAAGUACAUCAGCUUGCCAGACUAAGCGUUGGCUUAUUUGAUACAGAUGAGGGUGAUAUAUGGGUUCAAAGUAGUUUAGAAUCAUCUUUAGUGUUCGAGGUGAAAGAAAAGCAAGAUAGAGAUCCCAACCUUAUCAAGUUGAAAGAGUCAGUUCAGGAUCAGAAAUUAGAGGUUUUAUCCCAAGGGGGAGAUGCUGUUUUGCGUUGUUAGGGUCAUCUCUAUUUUCUAGGUGUAGAUGACUUAAGGUAGUGAAUUCUUGCAGAAGUGCAUGGUGCGCACUACUCUAUUCAUUCAGGGGCCACAAAGAUGUACUGCGACUUGUGGGAAGUUUAUUAGUGGAGUGGGAUGAAGAGAGAUAUUGCAGAGUUUGUGGCUAAGUACUCUACAUGUCAGCAGGUUAAGAUAGAGCAUCAGAAGCCUAGUGGUCUUAUGCAAGAAUUCAUUAUUCCUACUUGGAAGUGGAAAGAAGUGAACAUGGACUUCGUGAUGGGUUUUCCUCGAACUCGUCAUUAGUAUGAUUUAGUUUGGAUCAUUGUAUACAGGAUGACCAAAUCAGCCCAUUUCCUUCCAGUUCAUACCUCUUAUUUAGCUAAGGAUUACCCUAGACUCUACAUUAGGGAGUUGGUUAGAUUACACAGCUUUCUGCUAUCUAUUAUCUUAGACAAAAGUACCCAGCUCACCUUUCACUUCUGUAAAGCAUUCCAAAAGGAUCUUGGUACCCAAGUUCAUCUCAGUACAACCUUUUAUCCUCAGAUAGAUGGUCAAGCAGAAAGAACCAUUCAAACCUUAGAAGUUAUGCUACGGGCGAGUGCAAUUGAUUUCAAGGGUAGUUGGGAUGACCACUUUCCUUUGAUUGAGUUUGAAUACAAUAACAACUUUUAUUUCAGUAUUCGAAUAGCUCCAUUCAAAGAUCUCUAUGGUAGGAGAUAGAUCUCCAAUCGGUUGGUUCGAAGUUAGUGAGGCCUCAAUCAUAGGGCCUGCCUUAGUAUUCGAUGCCUUAGAAAAAGUCUAGUUGAUUAGAGAAAGACUCUGGGCUGCUCAGAGCCGACAGAAGUCUUAUAUAGAUAUUCAUAGAAAAUAUCUUGAGUUCAAUAUUGGUGAUUAUAUCUAUCUAAAUAUCUCUCCUAUGAAGGGAUUCAAGCGGUUCGACAAGAAAGGGAAACUCAAUCCCCGAUAUAUCGGUCCCUUCAAGAUUCUCAGUCGAUUCGACAAGGUAGCUUAUGAGGUCGAAUUGCCUUCAGAUCUAGCCUCAGUUCAUCCAGUCUUCCAUGUCUCUUUGCUCAAGAAGUGCAUAGGUGACCCAGCAAUUGUAAUCCCUAUUCAGAGCAUUAAUGUUUAGAAUAGUCUCUCUUAUGAGGAAAUUCCAGUCGAAAUCCUAGACUAUCAAACUCGUAGACUGAGGAACAAAGAAGUCCCUCUAGUUAAAUUUCUUUGUCAAAAUUAGUCUGUCGAGGGAGCUACUUGGGAAGCAGAAUUAGACAUGUGUACCAAGUGUCCUUACCUCUUCUACGCCAACUCAGAUUAAGCUCAAGGUAACAGUCCUCCUUAAGCUUACUCAGUUUCAUGUUCAAUGUUCAUCAUAAACUUGGUAUCAAGUACCAUUGCAUAUUCAGUCAUGCAUUUAUGUAUCAGUUCAUUUAUAUAAUUAUACAUCAGAUAUGCAUUCUUAUUGUGAGAAACUUAGUUUCUCAGAACACUCAGUCAUGCAUUCAUGAAUUAUUUACAUAUGUAUCAGAUAUCUAUGUUCAGUAUGAUAUAUUCAGUUAUCAGUUAUGUAAGUCAUGAGAUCAUAUUUUAUUUAUUCAUGUUCAGUAUGUAUGUCAGUUUAUGUUCUUCCCCUUACUCUCAUUUUUAUUCAAGGACGAAUGUUCUCAAGGGGGAGAUAUUGUAAUACCCCAUACCUUUUCCUAGCUUGAAAUUAUCUAAAAAAUGUUAGGAUCCUUCUUUGAAAGAUGAAUCCACUUUUCUAAAUAUGGUAUUUUUAAUAUUUUUACUUUUUGUCAUGUGGGAAAUUCAAUAAGCUUUUCAUCGAUAUAAAAUUCGCCUAAAUCUGAUAACCGGGUAAGAAGUUAUGACUAUUUUAAGUUUCCAUCGUAAAACAGCACCAUAUUGGUUAGUGGCACACCGUACCACAAGAUAAAAUGGCAAUUGUCCUUUUCCAGUGUCUCAGCGUGAUUUUCUCUACGUCGCGCCAAAGUUCCAGGUUGCAAAAGAAGGGGCAACACGAUGGCUCCACAUCAUGCCAUCCCUCAGUUUCCCAAUUGUCAAAUUCCAAUGACACGUUGCGAUAGCACCGCAUCGCGCCAGGGGUCCAAUUUGAGAAAUUUUUAUUAAAAUUACAAGACACGUCCAGGGUUAAAGGGGUUAAUUUUCCACCCCUAUUUAAACCCUUUAAUACGUGAUUCAACUACUUUUAAUCCAAAAUACACUCUCUUCUCUCAAAAACCUCUCAAGAACAACCUAGGGCUUUUCAUAGAAGAUUCAAAAUCAAUAAUUUCCUUCAUCAAUCUUCGUGUAUUUACAAACCAAGGUAUGCAUAGUAUAUAUUCAUGGACUCCUUUCAUCCAUGAAGCCCAAGAAUCCCUUUUCUAAAUUCAAGUUUAUGGAUUUUCUUAUGAAUUUCAUGAUUGGGAUGCUCUUGUUCAUAUGGAUAAUAAGAAACUGAAUUCUACUCCAUGUUGGGUGAUAAAUUCUAUGGGGUUAAAUUAUUAUAGAUAUAGAUUUAUGCAAACCUAUAACUAAACCCUUGAAUGAUGAAAUUAGAAUUGAACCAUAAUGUUUAAUUAUUGUACAAUGAUGUUUACAUGUACCGUGCCUACAAUAUGUUUGAUUAAAUGCCUAGAUGAAGGAAAGGUACCUAACUAGUACGAUACCAUGAAAUCCCCAUUUAUGUACAAGUUAUGCCUAUCACGUAUUUUGAUGAAAUGCUUCUAUAAAUAUAUUAUGGAUUAUGAUGUUAGUUAUAUAUUCAAGUAAGUUAUGCUUGGUCAGUUUCCUUCCAUCGAGUCCUGGGGCUACUCGUACCCAAAACAUUAGCUGUGUGCCUAGAGCCAUGUCAUGUUUUCACGUUACUCUCAGUUAAGCUAUGAAUCCUUGGACUUCAGACAGUCUUAUGGCUCAGGAAAUAUCCAUGAUCUCAUGAACUCAGUCAGUUGUCAGAUAUUAGUAGUAUUCCGUCAGUCAACAAAAUUUAGUAACUCAGCCCAUGUUCAGUUCAGUAAAUCAUGUUCAGUCUAUUCAGAUGGGAGUAGAAAUUAUCACUGAGUGAACCCAAGGAUGGGAACACACACUAUCAGAUGAGGGUGUGAUUCUUAGAAGUCAUCCUUGCAUUCCAGAACUAUGUAGCCAGCAUAGAUUGAGACAUCAAUACUGUCCGAUGAGGGUUGAUAAGGUGGAUAAGUACUGUUAGAUAAGGGCCCCACUAUUCUCUUUUGGGAACACUAUCAGAUGAGGGUCACCCACAGCUUGUCCUUACCAGUGGUGCGGUAUUGACACCCUUCUAAUUGGGGUUAUAGAUUGGACCCCAACUCAGCCAUAAUGGCAUAUUAGGGGCAUGUCGGUUAGAUAACUACUUCCUAUAGUUUUAUGUUAAAGAAUCAGGACUGUCAGACACGAUUAAUAAGUCUCAAUAAUAGAACUCAAAUAGUUCUUCAAAUUUUAGGACUAUCAGAUAUAGUCAACUCAGACGGGACUCAGCUAGUUCCAUUAGAUCCAGGACUGUCAGAUACAGUCACUCAUGUUAUCAUUUAUAUCAGUUAUCAGUAUGUCAUGUUAUCAGUAUUCAGAUUUAGUAAUCAUGUUAUCACGGUAUCAAUGUUAGUUAUUGUCUCAUGCAUGUAUUCUCACGCUAAUGAUAGUCAGUCUGCUAUUGUUAUUGUUCAUGAAUAUGAACCCUAUGCAUUCAACCUACCUCACAUGCAUACCAGUACAUUCAAAGUACUGACGCAUUUGCGUUAUGGUAUCUUAUACAUAGGUUCAAAGACACGAGCUCCAGAGCAUCAGUAGAUUCCAGUCUCUACUGUUAGAGUUAGCAGUGAUUCCUCAUCUUUUGAGGACAUGAUCAUCAUUUUAUUAUCUCAGUAAUUAGUUUAUUAGUUGGAGUUAGUUGGGGACAUAUCCCAUCAACUCCUUAUUCAGACAGUCACGUUUUAGAGGUUUUCCAGACUAUAGUAUGUUCAGAUAGCUUAUUUCAUUUGUUUUGGGUAUUUCAUACCCCUCUCAGAUAUUAUAUUUUUAUCAAAUACUAUGUCUCAGUUGUGAACCUUAUGGCCUUUCAGUUCAUGCUUUUCGCAUUAUAAAGUAUUUCAUGCAGUAUACAUAUACAAAUAUCAGUCAUAGGUUAGCUUGUGGUCCUUUGGGGUCAUGAGCACCGUGUAGCAUUCCGGGUACCAAAUAUAGGGCGUUACAGUUUGCGACACCCUUGGGUGCUUUUUCAAUUUGUUAGUCAACUUUUAUGUAAUAAAGUUCUUUUUGCUACGUGAAGGAGUUAGAGGUUACAUAAAGGCUAUUGUAUUAUUAGUUAAUAUGAGAAAUUGGAGUGAAUACUUCAUCUAUUUUGAAUGUUUUUUCGCCAUCUUUGAGAUCAUUUUGCUUUCUAAGCCGAGGGUAUAUCGAAAAUAACUUCUCUAUCUCUACGAGGUAGAGGUAAAAUUUGAGUACACUCUACCCUUCUCAGGCCCCACUUGUGGGAUUGCACUUGGUAUACUGUUCUUUGAUGAUCACUUUUUGUUUAUUAGUUAUUGAAAAAUUAAGAGGAUUAAAAGAUAAAAUGUUGUGUUCUUGUGCAUUGUUCUUUGUUCGUUUUUGUUGAUAAAAUUAGACUAAGAAUGUUACUAUUAAAAGUGCAGUUUAUCAAUUUAUUAUUCAAUCUUUCAAGUACUGUGGUAGUGUAUUUUCUUUUUCUUUAUUAAGUUGCACGGUAUGUAAUAAAGGUUUCUUCUUUCUAUGUGAAGGAGUUGGUGGUUACAAGGAGGCUAUACAGUAUUAUAAGUUAAAUGGAGGCUUGUGGCAGAUAUUCUCUUCAGCAACCUAUUUCAGUAAAGGGAUCAGCUUUCCCUUUAAGGGGUGAAAUGAAACUAAAUGGGAAUCCAUUUGUAAUGGAUAAUUUUAAUUUUAAAGGGGCAAUUUUGGUAAUAUGAGAGAAAAUAUUAAAUUGAAGGGUAUAUUUUACAAGUUUGCUCACAAUGAGGGUAUAAAUAUCCCCAUAGUUUAAUAAAGGGCAAAGUUAGUCAAUUAACAAAAGUAGAGGGGUAUAUUUGACCCCUUUCCCUUUUUAUAAUAUUGACUUCUAAAAUGUGUAUAAGGUAAGGGAAAAAAGGGUAAAGAAUCCUUAAUUACAUGAGUAAGUAUAUGGUAAAAAAUAUUAUACAUGGAAAUAAAAUUUUGAAAAAAUCUAAAUCAAUUAAACUUGAUUAUUGAAAUUUCAUAUUUGAAUCAUAUACGAAGUCUAUUCCCUGCAAUCUAGGCUUUUAGCCCAAUUAAAAUACUUAAUUUUUCUAAUUGUAAGAAUUUGCCAACUAUUUUUAACUAAGCAUAUCUCUCUCAUUGGUGUAGACUAAUUGUAAAUUCUCCGUUUUGAUGUGAUGUGGUAGAAUACUCAUUUGUUUUAAUUUUUGUAUGCGUGGGCAAAUAUAGUUGUUUUUCAAUAAUUUUUUUUUAUGUAGAUCUCAAACAAAUAUGGCUUUGAUAAAUUUUUGUUAGGUUAUUCUUUAGAUUGAUUAUUAUCAUUAUUUGUUGAUAUUAGAUGUGCUUGCAAAGCUUUGCUUGGAUGUCAGUGUGCGCUCUCAAUCGGUCCUAUUUAUGUUUUAUAUUGAAUUUAUUAAUUAAUUUUGUCUAAUGUCAUUGUGUAGGGCAUACCCAAAAAAGUUACGCUUAGAAUUUCAAAGAUAUGACUCGACAAAGAAAGUUGCCCUCCGAAUGUUCCUUUAUUCUCUAUGACACGAGGGCAUUGACAGUGGUAGAUUGAUUCAUACUUUUAGUGAACGCUUCUUCUUUUUCUUGUUGUAGCGAGUAAGGCAGUGAAUCUUGCUCUCAACAACAAUCAACAAUAAAUUUGGAAUCCUUUCUUUUUCAGUUUGUAUUAAGAUGCUUCUAGCUUGCACCUAUUUUUUUGGAUAAGGUGGUAGAGAUCCUUGAGAAUCAAAGGAGCAAGUCUACCGAGCCUUUAAAAUUAUGAGAAUCGUGCUACCAUAGAAAUAAUAUCUAGCAGUAGUACUGAUAAUAAUGGGCUUUUUAAAAUGAGCAGUACUUGUAAAUCUAUUUACAUUAGUGUACUAUUCAUGUUUAUUGGAAAUAAUCAUACAAGUCUCGAACUUUCACCUAUACGUGCAUAUAUGUGCAUAUGCUACUUUUCAACUCUUUUUUGAUGUAGAAUCAUUUUGCAUUUAUAAACAGAUCUUUUUGUGUGAUUGUCUAAGUUAGACUUUGUCAUCAUGAUCAAUCUUAAUUUGAAGGUGGAAAUUGCCACAAUGAAAAAUAACUUGAAUUGUAGGUUUAUUCUGAAGACUUAUAGUUGGUUAAAUGAUUCUUUGUCUUUUUGACCAAUCCCUUCAUGUCGGCUGACAAUUCGUCUAAUAUGUCCACUUAAUUAUUCAAGUUUAAUAAUUUUAUAUGGACAUUAUGUUAACUGUACAAAUGUUAAUAUAUAGCAUUAGUUAUAAGGUUGUUGUUUAAUUAAUGAAUUAAAAGUAAUUGAAGACACCUUAACAAAGAGAAUUUCCUCAUUAUGUGUAAUUCGACAAAGUAUGAGACCCCGAGGGUCUCACACGCACAAUCCUACUCCAUCUAACUCCGAGUUACCCCUUGCACUUCAUUUGAUUAUUUUCACCACCAUCAAGAAUAAUGUAGAUUUAUAAUUUUGUUUUAUUUGUUAGUUGGCUUUACUAAUUUUUUGAAAAUAUAUAACAACAAUUAGUGUCGAGUAUAAUUUUUUUAUAUUACAUAUUUUGGGAUACAUGUGCAACGCACGUCCCCAUAGACUAGUUUAUUAUAAAUGUAUGGAAAGACUUCUAAAUUUACGAAAAAUUUUGUAGGUACAUGAUUCAUAAAUACAUGGAAAGCAAAACACAUAAAGUUACCUUAUUUAUAUAUAUAACAAAAUAUUCUACCAUUGUACUUAAAUAAUAUUUUGAUCAAAUUUUAUAAAAACCAAUCGACUUUUUCAACCCAAAAAAAACAUAUGGUUGCUUCUAUAGAUGUAAGGCUUCUUCUACUUCUAUGACUUUUCGUUGAUGAUGGCAACUCCGAUCGCCAAGGAUAGCAACUUCAAAGAUGAUAGCUUUAUGUUAUGUCCACUGAAGAUAAUAUUAGGGUUUCACGCCUUUUUGACAACGAAAUUCAAAUCAUAAAGGAUUUGGUCUCUUUUUUUUGUCCUACUCAUAGUUAUUUUGUGUUUGUUGAAUGUGUUUGUUGUAUUUUUUUGUCUCAAUUUAUUUUGAUCGAAUUUUUAAAAUACUUGUUGUACUGUAAGUUUAAGUUUAUGAUUAUACAACAUAUGUUUCAUUGAACUUUUAAAGAAUGAUUUAUUUUUCGGUGAAUUGGAUAGUUAUAUUUAGCACAAUAUAGUUUAGUAAACAAAACCAAUAAACAGUCGGCUAGACAACUCUGGAUUAAUUACUAAUUACAUAGGAACUUGGGGCAUUCUCCAUAUUAGAGUUUGAAGAAGUAUUAAUCCUUUUUUUCAAAAAUAGUUUUUAGUAUAUCUGUCCAUACUUCAUAAACAUACAUGGGAGGAACUACAAAAAUCGUGUGACCUCUAUAGUCUGCAAAUUUUGUUCCUUUCUUUGCUAGGACUUCUGCCACCCCAUUUUGGUCCAUGUAACUAUGUUGCACCACUAGACAUCCCAGUGUCAGGACUCGAGUUCUUAGUCAUGAUGGCACCUACUUUAUCUUCCCAGUAGGUAAGCUAAACUGUAGCUCAAAGCUAUAAGCAAUGGGCACAUUUGGUGGAAAAUGACAUAAAUGUCAAAAAAAUUGCAAGUAAGACUUACAACGAUAAAUCAAGUAAUAAUAAUAAUAAUACAAAAGAUAGAUAAGAUAACAAUAAUAUUCCACAACCUAGUAGUGUCGGUGCAAGAGCCACUAACAAAAGAAUAUGAGUAUUGUAAUAGUCAAAUAUACAUCAGUUUCAAAUAAUGAAAGAUUGAAGUAGAAAGAAGGACAAAGCUCAACUCUGGCUUUGAGAGCUUACCCUAUCCCCGAAUUCUAAUCAACAUAAUCAUAUCUUCAGGGUUGGCCACUAGUACUCGGAUCUGCACCUAAAAGGUACAAAGGUGUGGCAUGAGUAUUAAAGUCACGGGUACUCAAUAGGUAUCAUUGACCGACUGAGCUAAAUUAUAAUAUGAAUAUAAUAAAAAUGCAAGAUAAAUAAGCUAAUUCAAGGUAAAAGGAAAAAUUUGAAAUAAUACUUCAAAUGCUAUAAAUGAAUAAAUAGAUAAUCCAAAAUAAUUACACAAAGAAUACAUAACUAUCACCACAAAACUAGUCCCCAUAAGUCGAUAAAUGUGGAAAAUUAAAUAACCUAACAUGGGCCUCCAUAAGCCCGGAGGGUGCAAUCAAAGAGAAGUAAUAACCGACAAUCAUCCUAAGUAACCGCAUCUCAAAUCAUAACCGUGAAUCCUUUCUGACCAUAAUUUAUCAUAAAUAAUCUCACAAUGUCGGACUCAGACCGAAUCUCAAACCCAUCAUCAUCAUUGUCGAACUUGAAUCAGAACUCAAAUUAUCAAUUAUCGGACUUGAACCGAAACUCAAAAUUAUAAAAAGUCAAACUUAAACCAAAACUCAUAAAAUCAAAAAUCACUAGACUUGAAUCGAAACUCAUAAAAUUAAUAAAUCGCCAGACUUGAACCAAAACUAGCAUCAACUCUCAAGUGUUAAUCUAGAAAAAGCAUCCUAUAAUCAACCUCUUCAUGCUCCUAAAUAUGCAAUUUAAUGGGUAAAAUAUGCCUAUCAAUUCUACAGGGAGCUAAUAAUUGUCUUGACCUACGGUGGGCCCGAGGGUCCCACUUCUAAUCUUCGAAAUCUAUUUUAAGGCAAAUUCUACCUCAGACUAGGCUAAUGCAUCUAAAUUCACUUUUAGAAGUUAAAUGAGCAACAUUUAGUCUUAAGAUAGCAAUUCUACCCUAAACAUGAGUAACUAAAUCAAUUACGCCUAAUUUACGGUUCCUUACUAGGCUAAAUAAUUCAAAUACACUAAUUAUACCUUCAAGAUCUAUUUUUAACUGAUAUAUAGUAUAUUAUCAUAAAUAUACUAUGAUUAAGAUUAAUAUAAAAGAAAGGUAAACCUAGCCUAUCUAGACGCCGAAGAAAGUCUGGUAAAAGUCUCUAUAUUGAUGAUUUUCCUAUUCAAGAAGAUUUUGCAUGACAUCGUGCUAUUAAAAGGAUAAUCUAUUCAUCAAUCUAGAACAAUAAUACUCAUAUUGUAUUUUUAUGCUUCGAGUCUAAAUUUAUGUAAAAAUUUCAUGUGGAGCCCAUUUGUGGAUCGCACUUUCAAAACCGUCAGCACGUCCCUCUAUGCUCAAGAAAUAUUUACUCUCAAGAAUGGAUAAAUUCUGAGCUCAAAUGGUUCUACAAUCAAUCCACUAAUAAUCUAAAAAUUUUGAGAAAUUACUAAGAAAUUCACCAUGAAAUUAAUGAAAACGUACCAAAAUUUUGGAGGAGAAAUGAGUGAUUCAAGCUUACAAAUACCACAAAAUAACCUAUUAAUAUUUUUCCCAAGUUUUUAUACUCUCUAGGGUUCUAGACUCUUGAACUUGUGUGAAAAAUGGAAGAAAAUCGAACUAAUUGGGGAAUUUAAUGGAACCUAAGUGUCUCUUAAGUGGACGCUGGGUCGUAUAAACGGUAUCGCUUUCACGGCCAAGUGAUGCUUUUGCGAUACCUGAGUCAUUUGCACAUUUCAUGUAAGAAACCCGAAUCAUGCUUAAGCGUUACUUGCUUAUGCGAUGGGGGACUUGCUUACGCAACCCUUAACUGGAAGCAUGGUCUCUUAUGCGAUCGGCUUGCCGCGAUCGCUGGCUCCACUUUAAAGACCAAAAUGGCGCUUAAGCGGAUACACCGAGUGGUGCAUCAGCUGGGGACUUACAAAUUUUUAAGUCUCCACCGACUCUUCGAGAUUCAUUAAAAAUCCUGUGAAUGCAAAAAAAUUAUUCUCCCUACCAAAUUUGAUUUUUUAGACUCAAUAAAGCAGUUAAAAUUUUCAUCUGAGGUCGUUUCGAUGAAAAGUGGUGUGCCAUUUUUAUUAAUUUUUGGGCAAUAGUCUUGAAUAAGUUCGAACGCCUUGAAACCUAAACCAAAGGCCCCCUAGCCUAAAAUUGACAUUUUGGAGUUGUUGGAACUGUUAGAAUUAGCAUAUAAGAUUGUUUAUUGAUGUUUUUCUCGAUAGCCAAUUCUUACCAGUGAAGACUUCAAAAUAGAAAAUUAACUUUAAGAACAAACAAACUACCCCGUAAUCGAACUAUUAUCUCCACCAAGUCAUAAUUGACUUGGUAUAGUUAUAACAAAGCUCUAAACAAUGACUAUGAGUGGAAAUGCAAAAAAUAACCUGGAAAAUCAUUACACCAGUCUCCUUAACCUCAACCUGCAAUCAUAGAUAAUAGGUUUAUUUUCCAUCAUUAAGUAUUAAUAUGAUUUCUUAGAAUCAGUGUUAAUAUCAAGGGGGUAAGGUGGUUGUCUUCUACAACUUUUAUCCAUUCAUUUAAUGCAAGAAGCUCUAUUUGUUUAUUUGUAGCUAUGUGGUAGAUUUUGUGGAAUCCCAAUACCUAGUGCCUUUUGUUUUUUUAUAAAAACCCAACUUAUACCUCCUUUGCCCAAAUUUCCCAUGCAAGAACCAUCGGUGUUCAACUUGUGCAAUCCCCUUAAAGGGGAUCCCAUUUAAAAGUUAUGGUAAAUAUGGUGUUAGAGGGUGGUUGAUGGUUACUCAUAUGAAUAUACAUUCAAUAGCUUCUAAGUAGUUUCUAUAUGUAGUUUUGAUAAUGAAUAGCUAAAUAACUACGAGGGACCAGGUCCUUAGAUGUGCAAGGUACAGUACAACUGGAAUGCAUCUUUUACACAAUUUUGUCAUCUUGUGUAACAAACUUGCAGGUGUUAUUUGGUGCUAUUUUGUAUCAACUUAGACAACUGGUCCAAUGAUAUUCCAUCCCCAAUCAUUGCCCAACUAUAAAAGGAAAAAGAUGCCUCUUCAAUAAUUAGUUUUUGCAAAAAUUACAAAGAAUAAUGAGAGGCAACAAAACCCCAUUUCAAUGCUGCUCAAGUUCUUAGCUUUAUGUGUGCUUAAAUUGAAAUAGUUAUUGAGUGAGUAAUGAUUUGUAUUCGAACUACUCAUUUUAUAGUAGUUUUUUUUACUUUUGAGAGAGUUGCUUAGUUACCUAAACUUGUAGCUGGUUAGAGUUAACCAGUUUUGAAGAGAAACUUGGCAGAGGUCUCAAAGUGUGCUUGUAAUAGAGGUAUUGAAAGUAGGAGGAACCUAGAGUUAGGUUCACAGUCAAGUCUGUAAUCUAGAGAUUGGUUACAGUGGACUAUUUUAGUGCUUGUGAGGGCAAGUCAUGAUUUUUCCCAUGUUGAGUUCCCGUGUAAAAAUCAUGUGUUGUUCUUUCCUGCGUUGCCUUUAUUUUUCCAACACCUUGUAAUUUCUUUACUUUUAUAAUAUUUGAAAAUGACUCUGAGGGACCUGGUCCCUCACUUAUGGUGCAGCCCCUAAGGGUUUCAUCAAUUGAUAUCAGAGCAGGUUUACUCUAAAAGGUUUACACCAAGAGUGUUCUGAUUAUAAUAGCCGUUUUAACUGAACUAGGGGUGGAAAGAAAAGAUGCAAUAAAAGAGAAAUUCCUAACCAUGACAUCUCUAUAAACUGAUCAAGGUGAGGAAGACCUGAUGUUGCACCUUUUGGCAACAAAAAUUGUUAAAGCUACAGGAAGGGAUGGUCAGUGAUAAGAUUGAAGGUUAUCACAAAAAUGGUGUUGAAUCAUUCAUGAGAACUGCUCAUUAUGUUGGAAGCAAAGAGUAUAAACUCAUGAGUAUUCACUAUAGAGGAGAUAGACUUCUGGAAAAAGGAUUGCAGUCAGGAAUAGCUCAGUAACUGAAAGGAUUCAAAGGUCAAUGAUGAAAGGUCUGACUGUGUUUUCUCUCUCAAUGACACUUCAGGUGAAAGUGUCUUACUGUGAAAAGUUGUGUCUUACUGUGAAAAGUUGAUCUCAAGGACCUAGUCCUUGACAUAUGAGAAACUUGUGAUCAAAAGAAAGCCCUAAAAUGACCUCCAGAUUUGAUAACUAAAAAUACUAUGGAGAAUAAACUGUAAAAGAAAUUCUAUGAGUUGAUGAAAGAAGUGCAUGUAGUUCCAGAUAAGUCAGAAAAAUUAUUGAUCCUAGGUAAUACUAAAAGAGAUGAGAAAGAGGAUGAAAGAUGCAGAUAAGUCUUGAUUCUCAGGGACCUAGUCCCUAGGAAAUUCAUCUCAGAAGAAGCUUCAUUAGAAUAAACAACAUUUGAAUCAGUGUCUCCUCAAAACUUGGCUAUGAUCAAGAGAUAGGUAUCCAUUGUAAUGUAUGUGCAUGAUUACUCUAAAUUAGCUUCAUACCACUACAGUUAUACAACCAUAGGGACAAUGUAGAAGGAGAACAACCGAAGCUGCAAAAAUACAGAAUUCAUUCAAACUGAGAGGGGCCUGGUCCUAUCUUUCAAGUUAGUACAUAUAAGAUGCCUAAGUAAUCACAAAAUGUUGUCUGAAAAAUCCAUAUAUCAUUUUUUUCUCUAAACUAUCAAAUCCCUUGUAAAAUAAAGAGUCGUACUUAUUAGUUUCAGACAUGCCAAUUCAAAAAAAAACUAUCUUUAAUGACAUCGAUUAUUUUUAAACGUACUAAAUCAGACCUUCUCAUCAAUUGUACCUUAAUUAGUCCUAUUCAUUUUCUUAAAUCAAAAAAUAUUCCUAAUCUAAACUAUAUUAUCACUCUUUCUCAAAUCAAAUGGAUAAUGUUAUUACUUCCCCAUACUCUGCAAAAAUUCCAAAACCUACAGUUGAGUUAAAUUCACUAAGACAUCCUUAACCAUUGAAGUUAAUGCUCAGUGAAUCGUAAUAGAAUUCUCAAACCAAAGGUCUAGGACAUCAAUAGAACAAGAAAUUUUUUCACCAAAAAAAUCACAAUUUCCUAUGUCAUCUGAAAAGCUGAAUUUUCUGAAACACAACAAACACCAAAUUCUCGUACACACUCAGACUCAAAAAAUAUUUUUGAUCAGUUAUUUGACAAAGAAAUUACAGUCAAAAGAGUUGAUCUUUCAUCUAGUGAGAACUGAGUAACUGAGAACCUACUACUGUUUGCUUAUGACAACAUAAAAAACUCAGUUAAUGGAGUAGAACAGGAAGCUUGUGAUAUUAAUUAAGUAAGUGGGAGAAAAGAUAGGUUGUUACCUCCAAAUAAGGAGAAUGAAAGGAUUGAGGACAAAGUAUCGCUGAGAUGGUCUAUGAAGAAACUCAAGAGAAAUAGAAAAAGAAAAAAUAAAAACAAUGAAGGUGAGGAGAUUGAUAAAGGAGAGAAAUUAAAUCUAGGGGGUAUUGCUGCCUUCAAAAAGGAAUAAAGAAUGAUAUUACAAUUGAGAGGGCCAGGUCCUUCAUAUCAAAGUCCGAUAGCUCCACUAGAAUGAGGAAGAAACUUAUAGCUAUCAAGAAAAGGGAGGCUUUGAGAGACCAGGUCCUAUGAAAAGAAUAAUUGAUAAUAAAGGGGAAACAAGUAGUGAGCCCAAAAGAAAGAAAAGAUAUGAAGAAAAGAAUGACAUUUCCAGAGAAGGAAGAAUUGGGAACCUAAGAACACAAAAGGUUCCGUCAAAAAGAAUGUUUGAUCCAAAAAUUUAUGAGAAACCCAAAAUGACUAAAUUGGUUGAAUAUGAUAAGAAUAAAGGUUGGUUACACUUUUUUGAAGAAUCAAACCCUAUGUUUUUUAUGAAUGAGAUCAAAGAAUUUUAUUAUACCAUGGAAUUCUUAGAAAAUAAGCUAAGUGUAUCUACACAAGUACAAGGAAAGUCUAUCAAUUUGGAUAAGGAAGUACUAGAGCAGUUUUGAGAAAGAAAUUCCUGCAAUAUGAGUUUCAGCUUGUAUUUGAAUUUAUCAGCAAAGUCCUAUUAUCGAGAUCAAGAAAAAUUACAAUUGCAUCUGGUUCUGAUCUAUUCUUGAUAGAAUGCCUAAACAGUUUUAAAUUUAUCGGUCUGCCUGCUCUUAUGAUUAACCACAUGAAAAAAGUAAUUCUUGAUAAAAAUAGAAGACAUGAAAUGACCUAUGGGUACUUUCUAAAGAAGUUCUUCAAAGAUUUUAAUGUGAGUGCAACUAAAGGAACACCUGGAAUAGGCAAACAAAUUAUCGGCUAACAACUCUUGUAGAGAAUGAAUAUAUUGAAAACAAAGCUGGUUCUAUGUCUUAAAUACCAAAAAUGUUAGCUAUUCAAGAAAGGUUGGGAAAGGAAAUAAAGAAGUUAAGAAUUAUGUUGAGCAGCUAAACUAAGAGGGACCAGGUUCCUAGAUGUGCAAGGUACAGUACAGUCGAUUUGCGCCCUCUGCACAGUUUUGUCAUCUUAUGUAACAAACUUCUAAGUACUAUUUUGAACCGACUUGGAUAUCUGGUCCAAUGAUAUUCCAUCCAUAAUCAUCACCCAGCUAUAAAAGAAAAGAGAUGUCUCUUCAACAAUUGGUUUUUACAAAAAUUACAAAGAAUGAAGAGAGGCAACAAAACCCCAUUUCAAUACUGCUCAAGUCCUUAGCUUAAUGUAUGCUUAAAUUCAAAUAGUUCUUGAGUGAAUAAUGAUUUGAAAUUGAACUACUCAUCUUAUAAGAGUAGUGCUUUCUUUUGGGAGAGUUGCUUAGGUAGAGUUACCUGAGCUUGUAGCUGGUUAGAGUUAACUAGUUUUGAAGAGAAACAUGGCAGAAGUUUUAAGGUGUACUUGCAAUAGAGGUAUUGCAAGUAGGAGGAACCUAGAGUUAGGUUCACAGUCAAGUCUGUAAUCUAGAGGUUAGUUAUAGUGGACUAUUUUGUUCUUGUGAGGGCAAGCCAUGAUUUUUCCCAUGUUGGGUUCCCACGUAAAAAUGAUGUGUUGUUCUUUCCUGCAUUGCCUUUAUUUUUCCAGCACCUCGCAAUUGCUUUACGUUUCUAAUAUUUGAAAAUAACUCUGAGGGACCUGGUCCCUCACUUAUGGUGCAACCCCUAAGGGUUUCAUUAGUAGUCUUAUGCAAAGUUAGGUUUAUCAAACUUGUUAUUGAAGGUAUUAUUAUUCUUAUUCUUCCAGAUGAUCCAAAGAUAAAAAAUCAGCAGAGUUCCCUAAUGAAUCAAGUGAUCAAAAGGUGCAUCAUGCAUUGUAUUCAAAGUAUUUGUCCACUUGGAGAGGUGGAGACUUGAUAAAAAGAGGUACACAUUGGUGUUUUUACUGUUCAGGGUAUUCUAGAAGUCCUGAGUUAAAGAACAUUCAAAGAAAAUAUGAGAGAUGUCCUCCUUUGGAUGGUUACAUUUUGCCUCUUCUGUGGAUAGUGAGGUUUUUGAAAGACUGUUAUGGUAGAGUAACUAGAUUAAAAAUUUAUUUUGGAAGGGGUAUGGAGCUUCCAGAUCCAAAGAAAGGUUUUUUUGGUUAUUCCCAAUAGUUAAUCACCUAUUGGUAUCAAUGAACUGAGGAGCAAUACUACUGCUGAAAAGACCAUCGCCAUUUAAUUUCUAGAUGGGGGUAUAUUUAGAGCCUGUAAGGCUGGGAAAGAAAGAGAAUUGAAUGGAUUGGGUAAUGUUUUAAGGUAUAAUAACUAUCAAAAUCCCAUACCCCAUUGGACCAAACAUGAAAAGGGUGUGUUUUCUCUUUAUGUUAAAAGAGAGCCGCCUAAAUGAAUUCCCUAAGGGGCUUAUGGUUAGGCAACCACCUUUUAGUUUAGAAGUUGAAUCUAUUACCAUUAUGUACCACCCACUGAGAGGCUUCCUUCCAAAUGUUUCAUCCCUUGUAGCUAUCUUUCCAAGUUCUAGAAGAGUUAAACUUACACUGCAUGUUGUUUCUACUAUGUUUUGCUUUAAAAACCAUGGCCCAAAGCAUAUGAGGAUUGUUUUGAAACCUCCACGCUGGACUACAUAGCAUGGUGUCAUUCUUAACGGAAGAUUUUUUAUUCCCAGACCCCAAUCCUUCUUUCUAAGAGUCAGGGUAUGUCAACCCACCAUGUGUAUUUUAUUUUUAUCUUUAGAGGAGCCCCAGAUAAAAUUCGUACAUGUUUUGUGAAUGAGACUAUGAAUUUUGCUAGAAAGAGGGAAGAAAUGCAUGACAUAAUUAGGGAUGAUACUCAAAGAAGAUUUAGCUAGAGUAGUUCUACUAGCUAUAUUUAAAAACUUAACUUUCCAUCCAGGCAACUUAGUAUGGAAAUGCUUAAUUAGGAAUUGAAAAUCUUUGUUUGUAGGGGCAUAUUGAAAAAUAGGGAAAUCCAAGUUCUUCCCAAAGGAGUCCUUAGACUGAAUAUUGGGGUGGGUGGAAUAAGUUAUCCAUCUUCAUUACUGCAAUUUGGGAGAAGAUAACCUUAAACUUAACAUUGUUGAUUUUUGUCAAGAGUGGUGGUUAAAACUAGUCAUGAUGGUGCUGCAAUUUUUACUGUUAACUCUAGCAAAGAGGGUCAAAUCAUCAGCAAAAAAGAGCUGAGAUAUUUUUGGACCUCCAAGGCUGAUAAAGAUAGAGGUCUAAUUUAUAGUGUCCAUCUUGUGCUCUGUUCUCCUAGAGAGAAGCUUCAUAUAAAGAAUGAAAAUAUUAGGCAAAAUAGGAUCUCCUUGCCUAAUUCCUCUAGUAAGUUUGAAGAAAUUAGUUUUGCUACCAUUGAUAAGGACAAAGAUUGAGGAAGUGGAAAUGCGGGACUUUAUGAGACUUAUAAGUCCUGAAGAAAAGUCAAAGAUGUGCAAGGCUUGUUUUAUAAAAGAUCACUUAAUUCUGUCAAAGGCCUUUUCUAGAUCAAUUUUGAGAAUCAUGUUGGCCUUUUCCCCUCCCAAUUCUUGGAUAAUAAGAGCAUUAUCUGAGGUUCUUUUAUUAAAUAGAAAACUUGAUUGGCUCUGUCCAAUAAUGUCAUCUAGAAGAGGUUCAAUUUAAUUAGCUAUGAUCUUGUAUUGGGUGUUUCAAAGGUCAAUAGGUAUGAAGUUUCCAAGGUUGGUAGCAUUAAAGCACUUGAGGAUGAGGAAAAGAUAUGUGGAGUUUACCUUUUCUUCUCUGCCCUUGUUUUUUAAGGUAUCACUGAAGAACUUGGUCACUAUAUGACCCAUAAUGCUCCAAUAUUUCUUUUAUAAUAAGGGAUGGAUACCAUCAGGCCUUGGUGCCCUAGUAGGUUUGAAAGAGAAAAUAGUUCUUUUUAAUUCCUCCAUAAAAGGGAUGACAUCUAAGUGAGAGUGAUCCCUGGAGUUGAUGAAGCCAUGAGUUAAAGGUCUGGUCUGGUACCCAAGGGGGUAAGAUAUAUGAUCAGAGGAAAAAAAGGUGUAGAAAGUUAGGAUUUGAUCAUGAAUAUCAUUUUGAGAGUAUACCUAGUUACCAUGGUCAUCUCUCAGAGAGUUAAUUAUAUUCCUUCUUCUCCUACUUAAGGUAGAGCUGUGGAAGAACUUAGUGUUAGAGUCUUCUUUUAUGAUCCAAGUUAUUCUGGAUUUAAGUCUCAAUAACUCAGCUUCCUAUUUAAGGAUAUCAAUAAAUUCUUGAGUGAGGGUCUUUUCAAGGUCUUGAAGAAAGGAACUAUAGGGAAAACUAUUGGCCUUUUGAAUCCUAAAUUCCUAACAUAUGUUUUUCCUAUUAAAGAUAUUGCAAAAAGAUUCCCUGUUACAUUUUCUAAUUGUACUUCAAAGUGGGAGAUGGCAUUAGUGAGGUGGGAAGUAUUCUCAAAAAAACCUUUGACCAUGUUAGUGAAGGUAGGCUGAGAGCACCACAUGAAAUCUCUCCUAAAAGGUUUAUUAGAUAUUUAUAUAUCCUUAGUGAGAGUGACCAGGAGAGGAAAAUUAUUAGAGUAGGUCCUAGGUAGAUGAGAGAUGGAGGCUCCAGAAAAGAUAUUAAUCAAGGAAUUAGUAGCAAAGCAUUUAUUAAGCCUCUCAAGGAUUAAGUCAUUCCUAUUUUUAUAUCUCUUAUUGAUCCAAGUGUACUUACUACACUUAAACCCUAGGUCAUUAAGAUACAAGAGGCUUUAUUAUUAUUGCUAUUACAACCAAAAUUUUCAUUUGCCUUAAGAUUUUUAUUGAAAUCCUCUCCUAUAAAACAACUAUUAUGAUCAAUAUUUCUAAUGUGGUUAAAGAAGUUAGUCAUGUAAUUCCACAAUAAUUUUCUUUCCUCAAAACUAAACUAGCAUAAAUAGAGCUAACAGACCAAGAAAAGCGAGAAUAUUUAACCUACAUAGAGACAUGGAUGUACUGAGGCAUGAUGGAGAUAUCAUUAAUGUUUAGCUCUUUAUUUUUCCAUAUAAUAACCAUACCUCUGGAAGUACCAAUAUCAGGGUAUUUGCAGAUGGUUGUUGAAACCAAGGUCAUCAGUAAGACAUGUGUGAUCACUCAUUCUAGUUUCUAAAAGAGCAAGAAGACUAUGUUUAUGGAGGUUAAUAAUGGAGAUGUAGUGGUUCUUAAGAUCAGCAUUAUUUUCUCCUCUAGCAUUUCAUACGAUGGAGUUCAUCAUCAUUUGAUAUGCUAGUUUAGGAGACUUAUUCCAUGUCUCUUUGCCCUUGUUCAUAAGGGAUGGGAUCUCUAGACCUUCUGCUUUCUUUCUUUUCUUAGAUAGAGGUAUCAUAAAAGAGAUUAAUAGAUUCUUAUUCAUGGGGUUUGACAUUAUGAUUUCCAGUGCGAACCUGGUAAAGGUUUUGAUGAAGUAAAAUAAUUAUCAUUUUGCUUACUAGCUCCUUGAAUUUUAGAGUUAUUGGUCUUCCUAGAGUGAUCACUUUUGUUCUGGGUAUUUUGAGAGAUGCAAAAAUUCCCUCCAUUUCUAUGUUGUUCUAUCUUAAUACCAUUAUUGUCUUGGCUCUUUUUUCCAUCUCCAAAGAAAUAUGGUUGGUCUCUGAUACUUCUAUUGUUGGGAGCGGGAGGAGUGCCUCAUAACUUUUUACAAAAAAUGCGCUCAUUUCUAGCAAUUCUUGGUUCCUUGCUGAGAAAAAGCAAAGGCUUUGAGUUGUAAGGUUUUGAAACACCCUAGGUUUUAGCCCUUAGGAAUUUCCUAAGUUUUAAACUUACUGUCCUAGUAACGACUCACCGUAUGAGUCAUAUGGUGUGGGUACGAGUUAAGUGACCCCACUCAUAAGGUGUCUAGUGAAGGGUAGUUGGGUUUCUGUUGUGGUUACGAUUUGGUGAUACGAGUCGUUAGUAAUGCUGACAGUUUGUUUGAUUGGUCCCUUAAUCAAAUUAGUAACUUAAUGACUUGACUUGGCUCUGAGUAUAAGUGUCUCACUAAGAUCCAUGAGGAUAGGGUACGAGUGGUAUAAUAAAACUGUAUAUUGUCCAAUGUCUAGACCUUGAUGUUCUAUUUAGGGUUCAACUAGAUAGUAUUGGCAGUAUGGUAUGGUUAUGGGUUGGGGCAAAGGAACUGUAUAUUGGACAAAAUAUAGUGUCUAACUUUCUGACCUAGUAAUGACUUGAGGGUACCAAUCAUAUGAUAUGAUGAUGAGUUGAAGGGUCAACUCGUACCCACCAGCGAGUUUUCUCAUGAGAGGGCUAAGACUCAAUAAUUUAGCAAAGUGUUGAAAACUUAAUCUUAUUUUUGUCCUCUAAACUUUGAUGAAUUAUAAUUCGACCUUCUCGGCCUUAAAAUGCCGAUCUCUAAGCUGAUUCAUGAUCGGGGUAGUUUUGUGAAAAUUUUGACUUUUAAAGAGUCGCCACAUAAUUUUGAAAAGGAAUUAAGAAACCUUUAUAAGAUACUUUAAACAAUCAAAAACAAAAUAAUCGCGUAAAUUUAAAGAUUAUGAGUAAGCGAUUCCUAUUAAUAUUUUAGGAAGGUGUUAGGCACCAAAAAUGUCCGCUAACUUUCGGUUAUCUGAACUGUUUGAAAACGUAUUUUGAUUAACUUCAAAAAAAAAAAGAUUGAUUUGUGAAAAAGUGAUCGAUUUUUAGCAAAUACUUAUGUAAAAUGAAUUUAGGCGACUUAGAAAGGAAUUUUAACUAAGUCUAAACAAAACUAACAAGCAAAUAAACACAUAAAAGAGAAAGGGAGGAGAAUGUAAAAGAUUUAGGCUAUUGGGCCCAAAUCAACGAAACCUGUCCUAAUCUAGAUAUUGGGCCCUUGGCCCAUAACCUAUCCUAGUCUAAUUUUUGAACCUUUGGCUUGAGUUUCACUUUACCUGUAUUAAAUACAACUUUGACUUCGAGGUCCAAAUAAAUAAAUAAAUAAAUAAAUAAAUAAAUAAAGACAACAAUAAGUAAAUAAAUAAAAUAACAAAUGAAACUUUUGAGUCUCUGAGCUACUUUGCCAAAGGGUUCCAACCCAUUUUCGUUUUCUUCUAUCUUCUUGUAUCCAUGUGCUACGCAAUUGACUCGAAAUUAAUUUGACAGAAAUGGUGGGCCCCAAUGGCCCAUGAUGAAAUGUGAAGAGAGAUCAAAUCCAUUUUUUUGGACUCGAGGCAAGUGGUACAUGUAAAUAAGGGUAAGGACUAGAACCUGAUAAAAGAGAACCUGAUGCUACUAAUGUUGAAGGAAAUAGAAAAUAAUCUAAAAUGCUCCACAAAACAAGACAUCUCAAAGAAAACACAAGAAAUAAAUUCUUUUAUCUUACCCUUUUGAAAAGUUAAAAUUGAACUUCUUUUAGAGAGAAACUUGACUUCACAUAAAAGUAUAUUUAGGAGUAAACUUAUCACGAUCUUCAAUCACAAAUAAGUUAAUUCUAUGAUAGGAAUAGGCAUGUUUAAAUAAAUCAAACCAACCUAAUCGAAACACAACAAUUCACACAAGAAACAUAGUCUAUUCUGCUAUGCACAAAAUAGAUGAGGCAGUCAAAACUACUCCUUACAAACUGCAACACAUAGGAUCCUACGUGUAGAAUAGGUGCAGCGAGGAAAAGAGAGCAGACCGAAACCCGUAAAUCAUCAUUUAGCAAAGAGUAAAUCAAUCAAAAUUCUACACUAUCCUAAACGAGAUCAUUAAGAGAAUGCAAUGGCAGACUUAAUCCAACACAGCUCAAUCGUUUCCCAUUAUCAGGUCCAUUACUUUGGAACACGGCCACCAAGAACAACUUAAGACAGCCGAAACAUAAACAUAAAUUCACAUAUUUUCAUAUAUAAAAACACUCAUACAGAAAAGGUUUGUGGAUUUAGAGAGAAAAGAAAGCAUUGACAUGUCGAAGGACGAAUAAAGUCGUCUACAAUGAAAACCAUUCCACAAAGCCUCAACCUUUGGAAAAAGGAAAUUGUUGUUUUGCAUCUAUACUCUAAAUAAAAAACAGAAUUAGAAUCGAACAGCUCCUUAAAACAGUCUCAGACAAACAGCGAUUGACGCAUUCAAAUAUGAAUUAUAACUAUCAAGCGACUAACGAAAUAGUCGAAACUAUGGCAAGUUUCGUGACACGCAAGUCCUAUGGCUUAUAAGCCUUCCUACAGUGGACAAACCCAGCACUAACAGUAUUGGAAAAUGUUUCAUGACUACAGCAGUGUGAGAUGAAGCAGAAUACAAUUGAAAUUUAAAUAGAAAUGGAAUGUUGCCUGUUCAAGAGCAGCAAAAUGGGGCAGCGAGUUAAUCAUCGGGAUAUUGAUCACCACCGAAGCUUCGUCGCUACUUCGAUGAUCCCGACAAACUCAACAAUAUCUAAAAUUUCACUAAAAUAGAGAAAUUUGUUCACUGAUUUUUGAUAAAUAAUUUUUUCUCUCCCUUUUCACCCUUUCGGACCUAGCUUUCUUCACUCCUCUUUAUCAGACCCAAAAUUUUUUAACCCAAAUUUUUCUUUUUCUUCCCCCCCUUUUUAACUCAAUCAAGAUCUGCUAAUAUAGAAGCAAGCUCGGGUUUCUCUUUCGUGACUUGAAUGAUGUGGGAAAAUUGAAGUUCGGGCUAAUUUAGGGAUUCCCCAUCGAGAUAUUUUCAAAAUUCAAACUGAAAAAUCCCCCUACAGCUUGGGUUUUCCUCUCCAAAUUGUACCGAUUCUUUUGGAUUUGUUAAGAGAAAUUGAGAAUAGGUGGACCAAGACCAUUUGGGCAAACUGAAUUCUCCUCUAAAUCAAUGAAAACCAUCCAAAUAUAUACAAAAUCUUACAAAUCAAUCCAAAAAUCAAGGCAUUUAAAUGUUGGGGAGACAACUCACCUAUUUCUAGAAGCUUCCUAAGCUUUUCUCGUACAGGUUCACGUGGGAUGCGCGUGAUGCAUGUGAGCAUCGGAUUGAGGUCAGGUUGAAGCUGGUCGGCUUGGAGAUGGUGAUUUUGGGUUACAUCUUUGAUGAUAUCAAUUGAGCGCUAGGUUGAUUUUGGGGAAACUGGGUUCGGUUGUUCGCAAUUUGGAAACCAGAAGCGUGUUUUUUUAUUUUUACCGAUCGAUGUUGUAGGCUGUUAUGUUGUUGUUGGUUAAAGAAGAAAUAGGAAUCUGGGUCGGGUCGGAAGGUUGUUAGGUUUGGGCAUGUUAGAGUGGGUCAUUGGUGAAAGGAAUAGAUUGGUGUGGCUGGUUAUUAUGUGUAAGGGAAAAUGGGCUAGUAAAAUUGUUAUUAUUUUUGGGAUGAUUUGGUUAUUUUAAUAUAUAUGGCUAAUUUAAUUCUAGCCAAAUUGAAUAUCAAUUGAUCAA
Molecule: long non-coding RNA, 31143 nt
Filed under: Capsicum annuum
Lineage: Eukaryota; Viridiplantae; Streptophyta; Magnoliopsida; Solanales; Solanaceae
Description: long non-coding RNA (CANN_LNC018936)
Source: RNAcentral